This is a non-coding RNA of Carica papaya (papaya), 2347 nucleotides long. Lineage: Eukaryota; Viridiplantae; Streptophyta; Magnoliopsida; Brassicales; Caricaceae. The record is from RefSeq and is a predicted model, not a curated record.
ACCAUUAAUUACUUCAUACUUUCAUAACAAACCAUUUCAUUUUCCCGCUUCCUUUUGUUCUUCGCUUUCGCGCUCCUCCAAAGUUUGAAAUCUACUGUCUCUUCUCACCACCUCGAAGUUUGAUUAUUCUCUUCUCUAGAUCGUUAGUUUUUUUGGUGGUUCUAAUGAAGUCUCUCACUAGAGAUCUCCUGAAAUAUGAAGUUGGAGCUCCGUGAUGUUCAUUUGCAAGCAAACUCGUCUAAUGUUCUUGGUUAUGUGAGUUCUUAGGUCUCUUUGCACAGAUGGAGGUUGAUUUGCAACAAAAUUUACAAGGGGACCAAAGGAAUGACUACCAGGGCUUUGGAAGUGAUUAUCAGCCUUCUAGUCAAUCUAGAAAGAUGUCAGUAGGAGUUAUGGCUGAUUCAUUUGCUAAGAAAGUUGGAAUGAAGGAUCAGAUUAUUGUGCCAAAUACAGAGAUGUUGAAUACUGAGUCAGAACCAAAACAUAAAAAUGAAGGUCUCACAACUGCCAUAAAACGGAAACAAGAUGAGGCUCAUGGGCAAGUAUCCUCUCCAUGGAUCACUACCAGAUCCUUUUACCAAAAAGUUCCAACUUCGGGUACUGAUCUUUCCGUGAAGCAAACUUCCAGUUUACCUGGUGCUGGUGUGAAGCAGAAGAAGCCUAAUGGAGUAAAGCAUGCACCAUUCACAUAUUCAGUAAAACUUUUUGCAAAUGAGACCUCUGUGUUACAGUCUGUUGAUGCUAAGCAGGACAAAGUUAAUGGCAUAACCAACAAAAUGAAUGGAGAGAAGGGAAGAAUUCCAGAGAGGGUCGAGGAAUUCACAUUUGCAGCUACACAGGAAGUCCUUGUGCCGCAAAAGGCUGUGAAUGUGAUGAAGGAUAAUACAGACAAGGCAGAAAACAGAGGUACUGAGGCUUUGAGAAUGAAACUUUUGGAGAUUCUGGGUACUGUUUCUUCCCCAAAAAGUCAGUAUUGUAAUUAUCAGGACCAUAAGGUUGGAGCAAGUAACUUGGAUUCAGCUCAAGUUGUCAACCGAGAGGAUGCAAAAAAUCUCAAGCCUAGACAAAAUUCAGAUACAAUAGAAAUGGAUUCUGGAAGUCCUGUCCCUGCUGUUAACAGACCAGUAACCAGGUCUUUGCUCCACAAGAGAGCUGCAAAAAAAGUGCAGCCAAGCAAAUCUAAACUUGGUUCAUCUUCUAACUAUAAGGGGAGACAACAAGAGAAGAACAUUUUCUCUUUCCAAAAAGAAUAUCAGUGUAAACUUGAUAAUGCUGCCGGUACUAGGUCUAAGAGGAAGAGAAGUCAGAGAAAGGAUGCAUUUAAAAGAGGAACAGUUUGCUUUACUGGAGAGGAUGGUGCAGAUUGGAUUCACAAAGAAAAUUAUGGCUGGAAAACACCACGAAGUACCAAAAAAACAUCCUCAUUUAAGAAAACAGGAAAUCACAAUGUUACGCCUCCUGUGGAUAAUAGUGAUUUCCAGGAAGCACAAAAUACCAUCCAAGAAAGAGAAUUGAAUCAAUCAUCUGUUAGAAACAAGGAAAAUCAGCAAAGUGAUUUGGAUAGUCCCGCUUCAGCAGAAAAAGGGCACCAGGAAGAAAAUAUUGCUAAUACAUCUCUUAAGAAGUUUAUGGACUUGCAAAAUGAUUUAGAAAGUCCAACAUUUGGAAUUAAAGCUCCCAAAUCAAUCCCUUCACCCACCUCCAUGGCAGAAACCGUCCAAAUGGAGGAGAGUGAUCUCAGUCUUCCACCAGAAGAGAGAAGAUUUAGUUUGGAAAAUAUAUGUUCCAUCAGGACUUUCAAAACUUCAAAACAAUUUGAUUAUGAAUCAAGCCCACAAAUAGAAUUAUCUGAUGACUUAGAGAAGUUCCAAGAUUAUGCAGCAAAGGAACAGACUCCAGUCAAGUCAAGAAAGGGUGCAGAAGAUAACCUGUCUGAAUCAUCUUUAGGAGAGGGACUUCAGGUUCACUUGCAAAAGUUUCAAGAUUAUGCAGCAAAGAAACAGACUCCUGUCGAGUCAAAAAGAAAGUCCAGAUGAUGGCCUGUCUGAGUCAUCAUCAUCAUCAGGAGACUCCGACAGCUCUAAAGAAGGUCAGAGGGAAAGAGGGACCUUUUCAGGGAAUUGCUCCCCAGAGAAAUCAAAAUUCAUGCUUUCUCCAACUAAAACGGUCUCAGAUCUUAAAGGAAUUCGGAUUGAUGAACUUAGUCCCAACUUACCCUUUCCAGAAGGUGUGAUCUUGAUGAUCUUUCAGAGAGAACCUGACUAGCCUCAGUAACUCAAAGAGAAAACAUGUGGAAACAAGAUUGCAAGAAACAUCACAUAAGAAGCUUAUCUCCCAAUUGGAAGAA